ACGUGCGGUGGAUGUGGCAAGUGCUACUAGUUCGCUGUAAUGAUAAAGAGUUAUUACCACAUAAGCCCGGAUGCUUAUCAAGGCUCGAGGAGGUGCUCUUCAGCAAAGAAAUAACCCGACCUGAGUUGACUUGAACAGGAAGUAAUAGCUCUCGAAUAAGGUCGGCAAGGAUUUACCUGGCGACGGCCCUUACAGAGGAACUUCCACCCGGUUCCAACAACCUCUACUCAAAGUCGGUGGAAUCAGACGGCAAACACGGAAGGGAAGCUCUUUGGAUUCCAGUCCGGUCGACCGACCGAAGGCAAGAAUACAAAGAACUAGUUCUGUGUCCGGUUUUAUAAGCCCGCAGGGAUUUACCCUACCAGGAUUAUCUUCCCGGGAACAGGUGAGUAAAACGGCAAAACUAAAAGUAAUUAUCAAAUUAAUAGGUCUGGGAAAAUAAUGAAACUAAAACGAAAAGCUCUGGUGGAAUUAAAACGGAAAAUAAAAUAAACUUAAACGGAUAUCAGGUUUUCGAAACGGGCAGGAAUCGGGUCUGGUUCUGGUUCGGGGAAUGAUUUUAACAUGGAACGGAAUUAAUCGGAAGUGCUCUCUGGUACUUUACAAACACCUUUUAUAGGACACACAACAAGGUGGGAGAUGUAGAAGGGAUUGCAAAUAAAGGAUGGGGACGACAACAGGCGACAUCUAACGAGGGGAUUUUACAAAACAUAGUACAGGAUGUUUCACAAAUAAAAUUCCAACGUUAUCAAUUUGAUGUUUUCUUACA
Photinus pyralis (common eastern firefly) is the source of this 769-nucleotide long non-coding RNA. RefSeq lists it as uncharacterized. The record is from RefSeq and is a predicted model, not a curated record. NCBI's taxonomy places the organism in Eukaryota, Metazoa, Arthropoda, Insecta, Coleoptera, Lampyridae. The transcript is spliced from 2 exons.